This 309-nucleotide long non-coding RNA is filed under the name Ananas comosus (pineapple). Its description in RNAcentral is "long non-coding RNA (ACOM_LNC038081)". Lineage: Eukaryota; Viridiplantae; Streptophyta; Magnoliopsida; Poales; Bromeliaceae. The record is from RNAcentral.
AGUUUGGGCGAGUAUCAUAUAUUCCAUAACAAUUAGAGUUGGUUUGGUAUUGACACUCAUCUGACGCUUUAGAUAAAAUGGAAUUGAGGUAAAAGUAUAUAAGGAUAUACUUCUGCGUUUUUCAACGGGAUCGUAGAUAAUAUAUCGUAAUCGACUGAUCGCGGUAUGCAAAACGUAAUAUUAUGUACGGAAAUAAAUAUUAUAUUUUAUCAUCAUACUUUGUUAUCGUACGUAACGCAAUCUCUCCACAAUUCUAAACGAAGCCUUACAACUGUAACACAAAACACUUUUAUUAGCACAUAUAUAUUU